RNAcentral lists this ribosomal RNA (253 nucleotides) under uncultured bacterium. RNAcentral describes it as "partial 16S ribosomal RNA". It matches the Rfam family "Bacterial small subunit ribosomal RNA", at positions 524 to 776 of the family's 1533-position model. The record is from RNAcentral.
UACAGAGGUGGCAAGCGUUGUUCGGAAUUCCUGGGCGUAAAGGGCGCGUAGGCGGUUCGUUAAGUCCUGUGUGAAAUCCCCCGGCUCAACUGGGGAACUGCACAGGAAACUAGCGGGCUUGAGUUCGGGAGAGGGAAGCGGAAUUCCGGGUGUAGCGGUGAAAUGCGUAGAUAUCAGGAGGAACACCGGUGGCGAAGGCGGAUCUCUGGGCCUUACCUGACGCUGAGGCGCGAAAGCUAGGGGAGCAAACAGG